ACUUGGGUCUCUGAAUCUCAAGUUUUCAUGGCUACAUCUAAGGCAGAAGGCAAAGAGGUACCUCGUGCAUGUUAGGAGGGGUAUCAGGUCAAGUGGCUGUUAACAGCUCUUUACCCAGGUGCUAAAAUAGCAAAAUCACGUGGGCUUUUCUCCCCGCGUCCGUAACGUGUACGUAACGUAACGUAACGUAACAUACGUAACGUGAGAAUCCCUGUCCCUAAAUCCCCCUGGAGCGGCAGAUUGCUGAGAAGGGGUGCGUGUGACGGUCAUCUCCUGCCAGCUUUACCUGUGAGCUAACAAGAAAGAUGCUAUCCUUGGAGGCGGAGAAAGAAUGAGGCGUUCCCCUGAUCAGAGUCUUCGGAGCAAAAAUCACCAGCCACUUGGGUGAGAGGAUGACUGAACGGCAAACGUACCUCAGAAGUUAGAGAUUGUGAAUUGCUCUGGAGAAUGUCAAGUUUUGUCUCCUGUGGAGCCAUUUGCUUACUUUCAGGAACCUUGAGAUCACGACCUGAGCUGAAGUCUGACGCUUAACAGACUGAGCCAGCCAGGCGCCCUCCAAGGCUGCGCCCUUUCAUAAAAUUGAAUGAAGGACCCCGCUCCCUGCAGCUGAAUCCCAACACUGCUGAUGGAAACAAAGAAUUCUGCGGUGCUGGAUGCAGCUACCACGUGACCCUUCACUUUGACCGUGGCUCCAGCUGCCUGCGUCCCAAACCGACUCUCCUGUUGAUUGCAGCGGCUGCCUUCCCAUAGAAGGAGCCAAUAUUGCUGCAGCACCCCCCACCCCCACCCCCACCCCGGGUAGACCUUCCAGGUACACGGAAUAUAAAAACCCUUAUGUUCCAGACUCCAUUGUCACGGCGCUCCCAGAAGCCCAGGGGCCGGUGGACGGAUCCUUGUAAAGCGCCCCUAUGGCCCUGCUGGCAGGGGACAAGGGGCUCCCGGAGACACGCCCACGGGAAUGGGUUCUGGCCGUUGUAGGACUUGGCUGCACAUUCAUACGUCCGUACGCUUCCGGCUUAGAUUAAGUCAUAUCUGAAUGAGUCAUUCCUCCACCUCCCCAUUUCUCACUCUGACGCCUGCACCCUAGACGCAACAGUGCGUCCUUAACCGGAUUUCUCUCUGUACCCAGCCUGUCACUUCCAGCCCUCUCAGCGGACACCAGCUGGCCUUUCCAAAUGCACAUUUUAAGAUGUCACUCUUCAGCUUAAGUAUCUUUUUUUUUUAAGUUUAUUUGAGACAGAGUUAGCAUGAAUGGGGGAGGGGCAGAGAGAGAGAGGGAGAGAGAGAAUCCCAAGCAGGCUUCUGCACUGCCAACACAGAGCCCCCCAAGGCUGGAACUGAACUCACGAACCGUGAGGUCAUGACCCGAGCCCAAACCAAGAGUCCGGAGGCUUAACCAACUGAGCCACCCAGGCGCCCCAAAAUGUCACUCUUCAGCUUAGAAAACCCCUGGGGGCUCCAGGCAAUGCCUGUCUGAUGAAAUCUAUACCACCCCUCCCCUCCCGCAUCCCCCUCCCCGACUCUGGCACAUGAGGCUUUGAGGGCUCAGUCUCCCUGGCUUCAUCUGCGCUGAUUUCCUCCCAGAACCCCCCUCCAUUCCGCUGCCCAUUCCCACCAGGCCCACUGACGCCUCAUGUACCCAUAUCAAGGGCAGGCCUGACACUCCGCUUGGGGCUCUCACACCUGGAUGCAGAAGGAUCCAAGGGGUACAGAAUCUGUGGCUGUGCUCAGGCCCACGAGGAGCCAGGCAGAUGCCCAAAUAGUCAAAAAAAAAAAAAAAAAAAAAAAAAAAAAAGAUGCUCAAAGAUCUUUUAUUUCCCGGACACCCAGGAAAACUUUCGGUGCCUCUAUUGUGGAAGGCUUUGCGUGCAUAACAAAUCCGGUCUCCCUUCUGAGCACUGAGUUCCUGAAAAUUAUUUCCCCACUCUCCAAAGGAGGGGGAAAAAAUCCUUUCAGGGAUUUUCACAUUAAAUACAACAUAGAGGUGACUAUUUCUCUCAGUCCUAAAGAAAUUAUUUUCCGCCGCUCGGAAGCAAAUUAUUGGAAGUCUUCCAAUAAUGAUGUGUCAAUGUAACAAUACUAUUUUUGGAAACAGAGGUUUGCUGUACCAAUAGCACUCUUGCUCAAACCUGGUUCUAAUGGAAAAUUCUUCCCUGAAACGGAUUACAUAAAUACAGAAAAAAUAUUUGAUAGGGAAAUGUAAUACAAUUUUAAUAAAAUGUAUAAAAAUGGUUUCAACCAAGCUGCUAAAUAAGGAAACUUUCCUUAUUCUAAUGCUUUCUUUACAAUUCUCAAAUUUUUACAUUUCAAAAUUCAAUUUAAUUUUAGUUUUAAUAGUAAAGUUAGAUUUUAAAAAAACCCAAGUGUCAUUUGUUUGGGGGAGGGGGGGUUCUGUGUUUCCUAGUUUUAUAAUGCUCCAGAAUUCACACUUCAAACAUAAUUCACUGAAGUCAUAAACUCCAAAGUGGAUGUGUCUUGUUAUUAUAACAUUGGGGUCUCAAAGUUCAUUAUGUAUCUAGAAAUUUCCUAGAAUGUAUGAUUUGAAAAAGCAAACACAUGAAGCCUCAAAAAAAUUGUACUUUCCUUAUGAACAUUAAUAACUUCCCGUACGAGGAGUGCCUGGGUGGCUCAGUUGGUUAAGCAUCAGAUUCUCGAUUUCAGCUCAGGUCAUGAUCUCAUGGUUUGUAAGUUUGAGCCCCGCAUUGGGGUUCGAGAUGACAGCACGGAGCCUGCUUGGGAUUCUCUCUCUGCCUCUUCCUCGCUCUUUCUCUCUCUUGCUCAAACUAAAUAAACUUAAAAAAAAAAAAAAAGAACUUCCUGUAGGAGACAUAAAUUUGGAGCACAGUUCAGCAGAUGGAACACAGUCAUACAACUGUGACCAUGCAAAUCCUGUGUCACUGGAAGCCAACAGCCCCUGCACGGGCUUUCUGUUCUGUCCCAAGGUUGCAGCCAAGGUGGUAUGAUCCAGAAGCUACCAAUUAGGAUUACCCCGCUAACGCAGGGUUAGCGGUUACUUGUCCCGAGGGUCCUUCCAGCAAUUCUGUAGACCCCUUGUUCCCUGUAUUAAUCCCCUUUUGAUUAAAGUACCUGGAGUGGGGGCGCCUGGGUGGCGCAGUCGGUUAAGCAUCUGACUUCAGCCAGGUCACGAUCUCGCGGUCCGUGAGUUCGAGCCCCGCGUCAGGCUCUGGGCUGAUGGCUCGGAG
Felis catus (domestic cat) is the source of this 3203-nucleotide long non-coding RNA. RefSeq lists it as uncharacterized. The transcript is spliced from 3 exons. The record is from RefSeq and is a predicted model, not a curated record. Lineage: Eukaryota; Metazoa; Chordata; Mammalia; Carnivora; Felidae.